Meleagris gallopavo (turkey) is the source of this 1112-nucleotide long non-coding RNA. RefSeq lists it as uncharacterized. The record is from RefSeq and is a predicted model, not a curated record. NCBI's taxonomy places the organism in Eukaryota, Metazoa, Chordata, Aves, Galliformes, Phasianidae.
UUUCCAUGGUGCACAAGAGGGGUUGGCCCUGAAGCUGGAGGUUCGUUCGGCGCCAAGGCUAGAGGAAUAACAAAUAAUGCAGUAAGAGGGGCUGAUGGCGAGCGCAUUGCAGACCCUGCUGCCAGUGAAAUGCUAAUUGGUGUAUGCAGUGAUGGAUAGCCUACACGCCGCUGCUAACUGCCAGAACUUCUGCAGAAGAAAGGUGAACUAAACCAUGUGUGAUUUAUACUCACUGGCGGCAUCACAGCAAAAAGAACCCAGAUUUUAUGUGGCUUUUUCCUCUCAAAAGCGUUGGCGUUUGUGGAGCCUUAUUUAUCACCAUGCCAGAUGAGCUAAAGGAAAAGCUGAUGCCGAAGAGCUGCAGAAGGAUGAUCCUGGUUCAAGGGCCCUGAUGCCAAGGAGCAGAAAGAAAUAGUUAAGGAAUGAGGCUUCAUAAUUUAGUUUGCAAAAAGUCUCAAGGAGAAGGAGAUUCACAGGUCCCACAGCCCUCGUCCCCUGUGUGCUGGCCAAAGAGCUCAUCAUGUUCUUCCAGUGGUACAACUUCCGCUCCCUGCCCCUGGAAAUGAGUGAUGCCCUCACACACCGUGCUGUCAGAUAUCCUGAAGACCCUCGAGAGCUCUUAGAGGGAUGUGUCCCAAUUUCUGUACAUGAAAGUCAACAGUCUCCAAGCAGAGGGAGGUCUGUGUGCUCUCCAUCUGAAGACUAGGACCACAGACCACCUGGGACUGCAGAAAACAGAUCAGCUACUGUGUGCGUAUGAACAUAAUGCAAUUUCUAAUUAUACAUCUGAUCCUUUAAAAAGGCUGUGACAGACAUAACAUGAGGCCUUUGCUUUGCAAAGAACCAGCUUACACAAAUCUCAUCUCAUCUGGGUGAGUUCCACAAUGCUCACACAGGAAUAGAAUGAACAUUGCAUGCAAGUUUGUCAGGACCUAUUGAACCAAUGUGAGGCUGAAGGUGCUGUCAUAGCAGCUGUGAAACAGUGGAUCACCUCUGCUGGAGCAGAUUUUUACAAGUUUGGCAUACAGGUUCUUGUUCACAAAAAUACAUAGCUAAUGGUAGGACUGUGUUGAAAAGUAGUAUUUCGUAGCUGAGAAUUUGCUCUAUCAAAU